CAUAAGUAUAUAUUAAAGUUGUUGUAGUUCAACGCUCCUAGUCAACCUUGUACUGGUGAUUUUCUAGACGUCCUUUACCUUCGGGUACAUGUGUAUGUCAUGAAACCCAGUUUCUGCACUACCUUUUGGUUUAGUGCCUUUUACUGAGACUAAAUUGGAAUGUUCCACGUAGACUUACGUUUGAACAAUACAGCUUGGAAUAAUAUUCUAGGAACCUCUUGUUUCAUUUGACAAGCUUGAGGUUAAUAAGUGAUAAGAGCCGACGGGGGUGCUUGUAUUAAUACUUAAGAGGUGAAAUUCUUUAAUAGUAUUAAGACAGUCUUAUGCGAAAGCAUUCACCAAGAAGGUUUCUGUUGA
RNAcentral lists this ribosomal RNA (357 nucleotides) under uncultured eukaryote. RNAcentral's name for it is "partial 18S ribosomal RNA". It matches the Rfam family "Eukaryotic small subunit ribosomal RNA", at positions 592 to 976 of the family's 1831-position model. The record is from RNAcentral.